GGAGAGUGGCAGAGUGGUCGAAUGCGCCGGACUCGAAAUCCGGUAUACGUUUAGGCGUAUCGUGGUUCGAAUCCCACCCUCUCCGCCA
Molecule: transfer RNA, 88 nt
Filed under: Bordetella pertussis
Lineage: Bacteria; Pseudomonadati; Pseudomonadota; Betaproteobacteria; Burkholderiales; Alcaligenaceae
Description: tRNA-Ser
Rfam family: tRNA
About the family: Transfer RNA (tRNA) molecules are approximately 80 nucleotides in length. Their secondary structure includes four short double-helical elements and three loops (D, anti-codon, and T loops).
Source: RNAcentral